ACAACCGAAGUUACGUUGGCAAUGGUUGCAUCUGCACCUGUCACGGUCUUUCUCUGUUCUUGUGUAGUGUUCCCAGACGUCUGAUCUUGUGUUUGACUGCUUCUUUGCAGCUGGACGAGAGCUACCUCUUGAACAAACCUUCCUCUUGCCUGUCCUAUCACGGCGUGCUAUCUCCUCUUGAGUUUCUUCAACUCCAUUCUCUGUCUCAGAGUCAGUCAAUGUUCUCCGGUAAUGGUGAAGAAUCCAUCUAUAAAAUAAAAUAAAGAGUAAAGAACAUCAAUAAGAGAAGACAGGAUUACAAGCACAUAUCAAUAAGAAGAUAAAUAACGUUUUAAAAAUAAAUGAUUUCAAUCUCAACUCUAUAAAACAAAUCGAUUUCAAUCUCAAUUCAGCAAUUCUAGUUCUACAAGAAGAAAAAAAAAAUCAAAUUCAACGUCAGACCAUAACAUAACAUAUAAAUACAAAUCGAUUUCAAUCUCAAUUCAGCAAUUCUAGUUCUACAAGAAGAAAAAAAAUCAAAUUCAAUGUCAGACCAUAUCAUAACAAUUACAAUCAAAACUCACAAAUAUUACAAACCUUAACUAAACAAAUCCGAGAAGACAAAUAGACAAAAUCGACAAACUCAUGCAUGCAAAUCAAUUAACUAGAGUCCUAGACUAAAUCGAUCACAAGACUAUAACCAAAUACUGAAACAAUGAUCAAAGAUAAAAAAAAAUAGAUUCUUACUUGAGAUAUGUUUCUCGAUGAAUCAGAAGCAAACGAGAGAGAAUGAAUUUGAGAUUGGUAUCGGAUAUUCAUCUCC
RNAcentral lists this long non-coding RNA (802 nucleotides) under Brassica rapa (field mustard). RNAcentral's name for it is "long non-coding RNA (BRAP_LNC006848)". The record is from RNAcentral. Lineage: Eukaryota; Viridiplantae; Streptophyta; Magnoliopsida; Brassicales; Brassicaceae.